UAAAAACAUCGAUACCAUACGCCAAUCGAAAAGGAAAAAUCCCUCGUAGUGGUCUGAGGAGUAGUUGGACAAGACCAUAAGACACUAAGCUACUCCUUCGACCAUCUACCAUAGGCCUAAUCUAAUUUCCUCUUAAUUUCAUUCAAUAAAGUCCAGUUCGUGACUUCCAUUUGACCGUUAUACCGAGGUCGGGCCACUGAAACCAUACGGUGCUGGAUGUUC
RNAcentral lists this long non-coding RNA (222 nucleotides) under Panax ginseng (ginseng). RNAcentral describes it as "long non-coding RNA (PGIN_LNC005110)". Lineage: Eukaryota; Viridiplantae; Streptophyta; Magnoliopsida; Apiales; Araliaceae. The record is from RNAcentral.